This 253-nucleotide ribosomal RNA is filed under the name uncultured bacterium. RNAcentral describes it as "partial 16S ribosomal RNA". It matches the Rfam family "Bacterial small subunit ribosomal RNA", at positions 524 to 776 of the family's 1533-position model. The record is from RNAcentral.
GACGGAGGAUGCAAGUGUUAUCCGGAAUCACUGGGCGUAAAGCGUCUGUAGGUGGUCAAAUAAGUCAACUGUUAAAUCUUGAGGCUCAACCUCAAAAUCGCAGUCGAAACUAUUAGACUAGAGUAUAGUAGGGGUAAAGGGAAUUUCCAGUGGAGCGGUGAAAUGCGUAGAGAUUGGAAAGAACACCUAUGGCGAAGGCACUUUACUGGACUAUUACUAACACUCAGAGACGAAAGCUAGGGUAGCAAAUGGG